ACUAUUACUCGCAUAUGGUCACAACUUAAUUGCUUCAUGUGAGUGAUGUGACCAUCCACCCUCCACCUCCGUAUUGGAACCCUAAUCCAUAUCUGCUGCCAUAUGUUCCACAUAUCCAACUUUGAGGAUUUUGAUAAUAUCCGAUUUCCACAGUUCAUCAACAUCCAUUGAAGGUCGUCUUGGUCUGGUAGGUGAUUCACACCAAAAUUUUGAGAAAAUUAGGUUAUAGAAAUCUUAUAACCGAAAUUCCUGGUUAUGUAUUUAUUCUGUUCGUAUGUUGGUUUUUCUGAAUUUAGUUUGGCCUGGUCGAAUUACUUUGAGGUUUGAAAAUUAGGGCUUGAUUUGGCUCACUGUUGAUAUGAUGUUAUUUGUUUAAGUCUGCUGAAAGUUUUUUAUUCUAUAUAUACCAUGUUGUUUAUUAAUACUGCCCCUUAAGCCGUUUAUGCCAUCAUUCUCCAUUGAGGUGCUCAAGCAGCUUUCCUUUCCCCUUCAACUUUUUCUCUCUGAUGAAAAUUGAGAUAUAAAGAAGGCUAAAAGACCAUGGGAUCGAGAUGGUACCUGCUACGUAAUUGGGACCCCCUAUGCCUUUAUUUAAAGAACCGGUAUGUAAAACAAAUGCCUAUUUUGAUAAUUACAUGUGCCAUAGUGAGAAUUAUGCACCUCGGUUACUGUUCUUGUGUGCGUGUGCUAUCUUUGUGAUGUGCAGAAAGAUGAAGAGGUGGAAUUCUUUAGGGCAAAGUUUGCUGGCAGUCAAGCUGACCGAGCUAUCAAGGCAGAAGCCGAAGCAAAUAAAAUUGCUGAACAAAUGAAGAACUCAAAAGGUGCAAGUUGAUGUUUUUCUCUUUGGCAAUUUGGCUCCUUUUCAUUUGUGUGUGUGUUUGUUGUUUUUACUGGUUCCACUCAGGUUUCGUUUCCUUCAUGUGCCCUUCUUCUUGUGCACACUCACUUCAGAAAACAAGCCAAUUAUUACUGUGUAUUCAAUAUGGGUUCUAUGCUUUUAUAUAAAAUCUGAAGCAACUCAUAUCAGCUAAAUUAAACCCUAGUUUAUUAAAUUUUCAAUUUCGUUGUUACCUAUGCUAUAUAAAAUCUGAAUACUAUUAUUGUGUUGUGUUUUAUUUUCAUGCAAUCUGAGGAUCUUGUUAGACCGACGUCUAUGCUUUUGGAGGGAUUUGAUGGUAAACAACUUACUUUGUAGAUAGAGGGAUUUUCGGGUGGUUGGUGGCGUGUUGGGUAACAAAUCUAAACGGGUCCAGUAUAGUAUUAUACGAGCAAUUAUUUGAUUCAGGACAAUCGGUUAGGGCGAGUUGAUCCAAAACACUUCUUUUAGGAUACUGUAUAUAUAGGUCACUUAAGUAUAAGUUUUUUUUUUUUCAUCAAGGUCACCAAACUAUUAUGAUUUUUUAGAGGCCAUCCAAGUAUCAAUUUGUUUUCGUUUAUUUUACUUUCUAUUGCCAAGAAAUUAUAAUUAGACAAAAUGUUGUUAGUUAAAGCUUUUGACACAUGUAGAGUUCUAUAACUGACAAAAAUGCUCAUGAUUGUACUUAAAAGGGUCAAGUUUACAUGAAUUGACAACGUAUAUUUCAAUAGAUUUAGGGACACAACAUGUAAGAGAUCACCAAGAAAAUGAAAAAAAAUGCUCAUACCGUUACACCUUGUUGGCAUGUAUAUAUUUGUCUGGUCUGUAUCAUAAAUAUCAUUGCUAUAAAAUAUUUUUUUUACUACAAAGGGAAGGAUCUGCUUUAGAUGUUCACAUAACUUAUUAUAUUGCUGAAAACUCGUAUGUUUUAUAUGGUUUUGCAGCUCUUCUCAGAUACUGUUCCCAAGACCGUAGUACGGGUAAGAUCAGGCCUAGUACGGGUAAGAUCAGGCCUGGCCCAAGGGAAGGGCGAGGUGGGCGAUCGCUGAAGGCCCACUCUUCCGAGGGGCCGAGAUGUUGUAAACAAUUUAUAUAUUUUUAUAUAGUUUAUUUAAUUCAUACAUCCGCAUACCAUACAAUAAAAUGUUUGUAGUCUAGUUGGAAAUACCAUCUCGAAACACUGCAUAGGUCUUUGCUUCGAGACCCAGCAGUUGCAUUUUUAAUAUUUUAUGCAUGGUAGAUUCCUUAUUAAGUGAGGAUAGAUUCACUAAGAUUUGGCCCAUAAGUGUAAACUGAAGCAUAAAAAUAUAUACAUAUUCAUUAUUGGUAUGGCCUCUUUUUUUAACUUUAUUUAGCAUCAUGUGUAUAUAUAUAAUCAAUCGCUUUAUUUCCUAAAAUUUGUUUUUAAUGUCUUUCACACUCUAUAAAUAAUAGUUUCAUGUCUUAUUUCAAGUUCAAAUUUGUUGACGAGCCAUGCUCUAAUUGGCUCGGUUGUGAUUAGAGGCCCGUUUUUUUACUCGCCCUAGGCCCGAAAAAUUUAAAGAUUCUCAGGGACGGCCUUGGGAGAAAAAGGGAAUAGUCCAAAACUGGAAGACCACUACACUACAAGGGAUCUUUUUUCAAUCGCAUAAUCAAAGGAUCUUUGGCUCAGGUAUGUUUUUUCAAUUACUUCAAUAAAUUAUACAUACUUACUUUAUUUUCUACCUUGUUUCCAAUGGUUAGGUUCAGACACAAACCGUAAACACCCCUAGUGGGUAUAUGGUCAGUUGUAUUUUGUUGCAGGUUGAAUGUGCUAAUAGGUUGCUAAUUGGGGCUGCUAUGGGGAGAAUAGAGGUCAAGACUACUAGGAUGCUGAAGAGAAGAUUAAUGUCUUGUUUUUAUGAGUUCAGUUUAUUUUUUAUUAUUGUUUCUUUGUUUGGUUGCUUACUUGCUUUUAAGAGGUUAAUGGUUCAGUUCCACCCCUCUUGUAAGGUGGAAAGAAUGUAGCAAAUCGACCAAUUUUUUAUGAAUGGGUCGGUUUGGGUUGUUUUUUCCCUAACGGGUCAAAUGUAUUCUUUGUGUAGCGUGUAUUAUUUUAAGAUCUUAAUCAAUUCAAAAGGUGUACAACAGUCCA
This is an RNA transcript of Helianthus annuus (common sunflower), 2969 nucleotides long. It is a transcript of the gene named probable methionine--tRNA ligase, with no coding region annotated. The record is from RefSeq and is a predicted model, not a curated record. The transcript is spliced from 2 exons. Lineage: Eukaryota; Viridiplantae; Streptophyta; Magnoliopsida; Asterales; Asteraceae.